This 253-nucleotide ribosomal RNA is filed under the name uncultured bacterium. Its description in RNAcentral is "partial 16S ribosomal RNA". It matches the Rfam family "Bacterial small subunit ribosomal RNA", at positions 524 to 776 of the family's 1533-position model. The record is from RNAcentral.
UACGGAGGGCGCAAGCGUUGUUCGGAAUCACUGGGCGUAAAGCGCGUGCAGGCGGCUUGGUAAGUCGGGUGUGAAAUCCCGGAGCUCAACUCCGGAACUGCACCCGAUACUGCCUCGCUAGAGUCCCGGAGAGGAUGGCGGAAUUUCCGGUGUAGAGGUGAAAUUCGUAGAGAUCGGAAGGAACACCAGCGGCGAAGGCGGCCAUCUGGACGGUGACUGACGAUCAGACGCGAAAGAGCGGGGAGCAAACAGG